CUGAAAACACCGGUUUGCAUUCGUUCACCGAAGUGAAGCAGUGUUGAACCCAGUCAGUACUUAGAUGGGGGUGACCGCUUGGAAACACCGGAUACUGUA
Acanthosepion pharaonis is the source of this 99-nucleotide non-coding RNA. The record is from the annotation of a GenBank genome assembly. NCBI's taxonomy places the organism in Eukaryota, Metazoa, Mollusca, Cephalopoda, Sepiida, Sepiidae.